This 703-nucleotide ribosomal RNA is filed under the name Vibrio parahaemolyticus. Its description in RNAcentral is "bacterial SSU rRNA". It matches the Rfam family "Bacterial small subunit ribosomal RNA", at positions 418 to 1113 of the family's 1533-position model. Lineage: Bacteria; Pseudomonadati; Pseudomonadota; Gammaproteobacteria; Vibrionales; Vibrionaceae. The record is from RNAcentral.
UCGGGUUGUAAAGCACUUUCAGUCGUGAGGAAGGUAGUGUAGUUAAUAGCUGCAUUAUUUGACGUUAGCGACAGAAGAAGCACCGGCUAACUCCGUGCCAGCAGCCGCGGUAAUACGGAGGGUGCGAGCGUUAAUCGGAAUUACUGGGCGUAAAGCGCAUGCAGGUGGUUUGUUAAGUCAGAUGUGAAAGCCCGGGGCUCAACCUCGGAAUUGCAUUUGAAACUGGCAGACUAGAGUACUGUAGAGGGGGGUAGAAUUUCAGGUGUAGCGGUGAAAUGCGUAGAGAUCUGAAGGAAUACCGGUGGCGAAGGCGGCCCCCUGGACAGAUACUGACACUCAGAUGCGAAAGCGUGGGGAGCAAACAGGAUUAGAUACCCUGGUAGUCCACGCCGUAAACGAUGUCUACUUGGAGGUUGUGGCCUUGAGCCGUGGCUUUCGGAGCUAACGCGUUAAGUAGACCGCCUGGGGAGUACGGUCGCAAGAUUAAAACUCAAAUGAAUUGACGGGGGCCCGCACAAGCGGUGGAGCAUGUGGUUUAAUUCGAUGCAACGCGAAGAACCUUACCUACUCUUGACAUCCAGAGAACUUUCCAGAGAUGGAUUGGUGCCUUCGGGAACUCUGAGACAGGUGCUGCAUGGCUGUCGUCAGCUCGUGUUGUGAAAUGUUGGGUUAAGUCCCGCAACGAGCGCAACCCUUAUCCUUG